UCGACUGCCGCGGCCCUGCCGGGCGGCGGCCAAAAAAGUCCGCUCGGCUCCGUGCAGUGUCACUCUUUUACUUUGGCAGCUAGGGGGAAAGUAAUUUGGUAUGUCGUGAAAUGUGAAGACCAAAGACCACCGCUAGUAAAACACGUGCAGAAUGUGGACCACUUCAGUCUCUGGGGUGGAGCCCGGGCACAGACAGGAGAGCGGCGGGGCGUUAGGGAAGCGUGAACGCAGGUACGGGAUGGAAAGGGCAGGCGCCCUGGAGAGACUGGGGCGUUUCAGAUCACCCCCCGGCAAGUGGCAGCGCCCUGCACGAGUGGUGGGGUUGGUUUGGCUCAGGAUAUGAGAGUCUUAGGGUCUGCGCUGUGCUGAUGAAUUUCCUCCGCUUGUGUCAGGCUAUCCGCCGAUGGAUGGAUUCUCUUCAGCUGUUGAGGAAGACCAACUGCUUGGACAGGCUGAAACCGAGAGAGUCUUUUCGUUUUUUCUCUCCCGUUUUCUGCCUGCGCUCUCACCAUGUUAAAACACUCCAUCUCCGGUUCCAUUCGGGUAGAUGAUUUCAGUAGCGUAUUGUCAUGUGCCGAUCAUGAUUAUUAGGUGCAUUCAGUUUGGAAAGGACAGCUUUUAAUCCAGUGCUUUUAUGUAAAGUCAUAGAGCCUCGGCUGAAGCUGCUGUGAGGUCCUAUUUGUUACUGUGAUUUUAUUGUAUUUAAAAAAAUUAGCAGUAUACUUCUGUGCUUUGUUGUUUUUUUAUGCUUCCUGGAAUUGGGGGUCCCAUGAGGGAGACUUGAGGUCAGAGUUCUGCAAAAGAGAAGUUGCUGCUUGGCGGCAGCUGCUGAAGUAAGAGCCCAAACCCCAGUCAGGGGUGUGGAUGCCACUGCUUUGGAUGAGACUGAGAGGCCCAGGGACUGCUGGGCCUGGAGAGCCGGUGGCUCUGCAGCCCGUCGGAUCAGAGAACUCUGUUCUUUUGGUUUUGUUUCUUUUUCUCAGAAAUGUAAUUUCUUUGUGGCAUGUUAACUGGUGCACACCAUGUGACCUGUCUGUUGAGUUCCUAUAGCUCCUGGCCAACAUCAGGACACUGGUGUGUGAAAAUAAGAAGACAGAAGUCUGUAUUCCCAGAAUCUGUUUGGAAUUAGGCACUGAACAUACCUUACCUAAUCUUCACAAAUUUCAGAGGUUGUUUUAUUAUCCUCCUUAAUCCUGUGAGGAAAGUUCUCAGGACCCUGCCCAGCAAUAUUGAACAGACUGACGCCAAAGCUCCGUCCACAACGUCAGCCAGCAUGUGGAGUGCUGUCUGCCUCUGAGUCCCCCGCAGACACUGACCAGCAGAUUUCAUAGAAUGGACUCAUUUAUUUGUUCAUUUCUUUGUUCAACAGAUACUUUGCUGGUGAUAUACUAGGUCCUUGGAACACCAAAGAGCAGUAGGUCCCUGGUGACAGUCAUUGACCCAUUCAUUCAUGCAUUUGAGUACAUACUGAAGAUCUAGUAUGUGCUGGACCCUGGACUAGAUAAAGCCACAACUCCUCCACAACGGCCACCUCCAGUGGUCUUGCCACCCUGGUGGGUGAGGUGGCCAACUUAACAGACCCCAACACUGGGUGAGAAGUGCUGAGACUGAGAAAGUUCAGGGCCUGGGGGACGUGAAGGUGGUGUUUAACCCAUCCAGGGAAUGGGGUGAGGCUUCCCAGAGGAAUCACAGACCAUGUGCUACAUAAUUGAAAUUAUAUGGGGCAGGGAAGAGGAUAGAAGGUCCCAUUCUCUGGUAUUACAGAACUGCUGAGGCCCCUGCAUCUGGGUGUUUCCUCAUCCACACAAAGGCAUUUUGGAUCUUGGGCGUGAUGAUGGUAAACGUGACGGCCAAGAGCGUGAAAUUUGCACCUUGGAUCCAAGGGCAAUAUCCGCUCCCUGAGCCCAGAGCUCAGGAAAGAAGAGUCCCUGACUGCUGGAGGUGCCGCAGACAGCAGCGAGAGCACAGGAGACAUGGGCUGGGUUCAGGAGGGCUGGCUCCACUCCUGGCUCACUCUGCAGCCUUGGGCAAGUGGCUGCCUCCUGAGCCACCAUAAAUGCUGGUUUUGCACUG
Long non-coding RNA from Manis pentadactyla (Chinese pangolin), 2073 nucleotides. RefSeq lists it as uncharacterized. NCBI's taxonomy places the organism in Eukaryota, Metazoa, Chordata, Mammalia, Pholidota, Manidae. The transcript is spliced from 2 exons. The record is from RefSeq and is a predicted model, not a curated record.